AUUCCAUUCAAUUCCAUUCGAAGAUGAUUCCAUUCAAUUCCAUUCGAUGAUGCUUCCGUAUGAAUCCAUUCACUGAUUAUUCCAUUUUAUUCCAUUCAUUGACGAUUCCAUUCGAUUCCAUUCAAUGAUGAUUCUCUUCUAUUCCAUUCGAUGAUUCCGGUCGAUUCCAUUCAAUGAUGAUUCCAUUAGAUUCCAUUCGAUUGUUGCAUUCGAUUCCCUUCGAUGAUGAUUCGUUUGAAUUCCAUUCGAUUAUGAUUCCGUAUGAAUCCAUUUGAUGAUUAUUCCGUUGUAUUCCUUUCGAUGAUGAUUCCAUUCGAUUCCAUUUGAUGAUGUUUCUCUUGUAUUCCAUUGGAUAAUUCCUUUCAAUUCCCUUCGAUGAUGAUUCUUUCGAGUCAAUUCGAUGAUUCUAUUCCAUUCCCUUCGAUGAUGAUUCCAUUUCACUCCAUUCGAUGAUUCCAUUCGACUCAAUUUGGUGAUGAUUCAAUUCGAUGUCAUUCGAUGACUCCAUUCAAUUUCAUUUGAUGAUGAUUACAUUCGAGUCCAUUUGAUGAUUGUAUUCCUUUCCUUUUGAUGAUUAUUCCAUUCGUGUCUAUUCAAAGAUUCCAUUCUAUUCCAUUCAAUGAUGAUUCCAUUUGAUUCUAUUCAAUGAUUAUGGCUAUCGAUUCCACUCGUUGAUUCCAUUUGAUUCCAUUCGAUGAUUAUUCCGUUAGAUUCCAUUAGAAGAUUCCAUUCGAUUUUAUUCAAUGAUUCCAAUUGAUUCCAUUCAAUGAUGAUUCCAUUCGACUCCAUUCACUGAUUCCAUUUGAGUCCAUUUGAUGAUUCCAUUCGAGUCCAUUUGAUGAUUCCAUUCUUUUCCAUUUGAUGAUGAUUCCAUUAGGGUCCAUUCAAUGAUUCCAUUCGAGUCCAUUCGUUAAUGCCUUUCGAGUCCUUUUGAUCACUACAUUCGAGUCCAUUCAAUGAUUCUAUUCGAUUCCAUUCGAUGAUGAUUCCAUUCGAGUUCAUUCGAUGAUUGCAUUCGAGUCCAUUUGAUGAUUCCAUAUGAUUCCAUUCGACAAUGAUUCCAUUCGUGUCCAUUUGAUGAUUCCAUUCAUUUCCUAUCGAUGAAGAUUCCAUUCGAGUGUAUUCGAUGAUUCCAUUCAAAUGCAUUCGAUGAUGAUUCCAUUCCAGUCCAUUCGAUCGUUCCACUUGAUUCCAUUUGAUGACUAUUCCAUUCAAAUCCAUUUGAUGAUUCCAUUCGAUUCCAUUCGAUGUUACCAUUCGAGUAUAUAUGAUGAUUCCACUCGAUUCCAUUUGAUGAUUAUUCCAUUGGAGUCCACUUAGUGAAUCCUUUAGAUUCUACUCGAAGAUGAUUCCAUUCGAGUCCAUUCGAUGAUACCAUUCAAUUCCAUUCGUUGAUGCUUCCAUUCAAGUGCAUUCGAUGAUAUCAUUCGAUUCCAUUUGAUGAUAAUUCCAUUUGAUUCCAUUGGAUGAUUCUAUUCGAUUCCAUUCAAUGAUAAUUCCAUUCAAUUCAGUGAUUCCUCUGGACUCCAUUUGAUGAUGAUUCCAUUCAAUGAUUCCAUUCGAUUCUAUUCGAAAAUGAUUCCAUUUGAAUCCAUUUGAUGAUGAUUCCAUUAGAUUCCAUUUGAUGAUUCCAUUCGAUUCCAUUCAAUGAUAAUUCCAUUCAAUUCAGUGAUUCCUCUGGACUCCAUUUGAUGAUGAUUCCAUUCAAUGAUUCCAUUCGAUUCUAUUCGAAAAUGAUUCCAUUUGAAUCCAUUUGAUGAUGAUUCCAUUGGAUUCCAUUUGAUGAUUCCAUUCGAUUCCAUUCGAUGAUGAUUCCAUUCGAUUCCAUUUGAUGAUUCCAUUCUAUUGUAUUCGAUGAUGAUUCCAUUCGAUUCCAUUCGAUGAUGAUUGGAUUCGAUUCCAUUUGAUGAUUUCAUUUGAUUCCAUUCGAUAAUGAUUUCGAUCAAUUCCAUUCGAUGAUUCCAUUCGAUUCCAUUCGAUAAUGAUUACAUCCGAGUCCAUUCGAUGAUUCCAUUUGAGCCCGUUCGAUAAUUCCAUUUGAGUCCAUUCAAUGAUUCCAUUCAUUUCCAUUCAAUGAUUCCAUUCGAGUCCAUUUGAUCAUUCCGGUAGGGUCCGUUCGAUGUUGAUUCCAUUGGAGUGCAUUCGAUGAUUCCAUUCGAGUCCAUUUUAUGAUUUGAUUCGAGUCCUUUCGAUGAUUCCAUUCGAUUCCACUCGAUGAUUUCAUUCGAGUCCAUUCGACACUUCCAAUCGAUUCCAUUUGAUGUUUCCAUUCGAGUCCAAUUGAUGAUUCCAUUCAAUUCCAUUCGAUGAUGAUUCCGUACGAUUCCAUUCUGUGAUGAUUCCAUGUGAUUGCAUUCAAUGAUGAUUCCUUUCGAUUGCAUUCGAUUAUGAUUCAUUUCGUGUUCAUUCUAUGGUUCCACAGGUUUCCAUUCGUGUCCAUUCCAUUAUUCCAUUCUAUUCCAUUUGAUGAUGAUUCCAUUCGAUUCCAUUCAUUGGUGAUUCCACUCAAUUCCAUUCAAUGAUUCCAUUCCAUUUCUUUCAACAAUGAUUCCAUUAGUUUCUAUUCGAUGAUCCACUUGAUUCCAUUUGACGAUGAUUCCAUUCUUGUCCAUUCGAUGAUUCCAUUUGAUUCCAUAUGAUGAUGAUUCCAUUCGAUUCCAUACGAUGAUGAUUCCAUUCGAGUCCAUUCAAUGGUGAUUCCAUUCAAUUCCAUUCGAUGAUUCCUUUCGAUUCCAUUCGAUGAUGAUGGCAUUCGAUUCCUUUCGAUCAUUCCCUUUGAUUCCAUUCAAAGGUGAUUUCAUUCAAGUCCAUUCGAUAAUUGCAUUCGAUUCCAUUCUAUGAUGAUUCCAUUCGAGUCCAUUUGAUGAUUCCAUUCAAUUCAAGUCAAUGAUGAUUCCAUUCGAUUCCACUCGAUGAUUCCAUUGGAUUCCAUUCGAUGAUGAUUCCAUUCAAAUCCAUUCGAUAAUUCAAUUCAAGUCCAUUCGAUGAUGAUUCCAAUCGAAUUCAUUCAAAGAUUCCACUCAAUUUCAUUCGAUGGUGAUUCCAUUAGAUUCCAUUCGAUGAUUCCACUUGAUUCCAUUUACGAUGAUUCCAUUUGAUUCCAUGUGAUGAUUCCAUUCAAUUCUAUUCAAUGAUGUUUCCAUUUGAUUCCAUUCGACCAUGAUUGCCUUUGAUUCCAUUAAAUGAUUCCAUACGGUUCCAUUUGAUGAUGAUUCCGUUCGAUUCCAUUUGAUGAUUCCAUUUGAUUACAUUGGAUGAGUCCAUUCGAUUACAUUCGAUGAUUAUUCCAUUCGAGUGCAUUAGAUGAUUCCAUUCGAGUCCAUUCGAUGAUUCCAUUCGAUUCCAUUCGAUGUUGAUUCUGUUCAAAUCCAUUCGAUGAUUCCACUCGAUUCUAUUCGAUGACUCCAUUUGAUCCCAUUCGAUGAUUUCCUUUGAUUCCCUUUGAUGAUCAUUCCAUUUGAUUCAAUUCGGUGAUUUCAUUUGAUUCCAUUCAGUGAUGUUUCCAUUCGACUCCAUUCGAUGAUGAUUCCAUUCGACUCCAUUCGAUUAUGAUUUCAUUCAAUUUCAUUCGCUAAUGAUUCCCUUGGAGUCCAUUCGAUGAUUCCAUUCGAUUCCAUUCAACGAUGAUUUGAUUCGUGUCCAUUCGAUGAUUCCAUUUGAUUCCAUUUGAUGAUGAUUCCAUUCGAGUCCAUUUGAUGAUUCCAUUCAAUUCCAUUCUCCGAUGAUUUCUUUUGAGCCCAUUCAAUGCUUCCACUCGAUUCCAUAUGAUGAUGACUCCAUUCGAUUAAAUUCGAUGAUGAUUCUAUUCGCUUGCAUUCGAUGAUGAUUCCACUUGAGUCUGUUAGAAGAUUCUAUUCAAUUACAUUCCAUGACGAUUCCGUUCGAGUCCAUUUGAUGAUUCCAUUAGACUCCAUUCGACGAUGAUUCCAUUCGAUGUUAUUCGAUGAUGAUUCCAUUCAACUCCAUUCGAUGUUUCCAUUCGAGUUCAUUCUAUUAUUCCAUUAGAUUCAAUUCGAUGAUGAUUCCAUUCGAUUCCAU
This 4038-nucleotide long non-coding RNA is filed under the name Homo sapiens (human). Its description in RNAcentral is "HSALNT0385603". Lineage: Eukaryota; Metazoa; Chordata; Mammalia; Primates; Hominidae. The record is from RNAcentral.